This 24-nucleotide non-coding RNA is filed under the name Arabidopsis thaliana (thale cress). Lineage: Eukaryota; Viridiplantae; Streptophyta; Magnoliopsida; Brassicales; Brassicaceae. The record is from RNAcentral.
AAAAAGAAUAGAGCUAAAUGGAUG